Molecule: long non-coding RNA, 86 nt
Organism: Cornus florida
Lineage: Eukaryota; Viridiplantae; Streptophyta; Magnoliopsida; Cornales; Cornaceae
Exons: 2
Source: RefSeq, a predicted model, not a curated record
CCCCCUCCCCCCCCUUUUUUUUUUUUUUUUUUUUUUUUUUUUUUUUUUUUUUUUUUUUUUUUUUUUUUUUUUUUUUUUUUUAUGUA